RNAcentral lists this ribosomal RNA (482 nucleotides) under uncultured bacterium. RNAcentral's name for it is "partial 16S ribosomal RNA". It matches the Rfam family "Bacterial small subunit ribosomal RNA", at positions 30 to 507 of the family's 1533-position model. The record is from RNAcentral.
AUUGAACGCUGGCGGCAUGCCUUACACAUGCAAGUCGAACGGUAACGGGCCUUCGGGUGCCGACGAGUGGCGAACGGGUGAGUAAUACAUCGGAACGUGCCCGAUCGUGGGGGUUAACGAGGCGAAAGCUUUGCUAAUACCGCAUACGAUCUACGGAUGAAAGCAGGGGACCGCAAGGCCUUGCGCGGACGGAGCGGCCGAUGGCGGAUUAGGUAGUUGGUGGGAUAAAAGCUUACCAAGCCGACGAUCUGUAGCUGGUCUGAGAGGAUGAUCAGCCACACUGGGACUGAGACACGGCCCAGACUCCUACGGGAGGCAGCAGUGGGGAAUUUUGGACAAUGGGCGCAAGCCUGAUCCAGCCAUGCCGCGUGCAGGAUGAAGGCCUUCGGGUUGUAAACUGCUUUUGUACGGAACGAAAAGCCUUCUUUUAAUACAGGAGGGUCAUGACGGUACCGGAAGAAUAAGCACCGGCUAACUACGUG